GCUGGAUUCUCUAAAAAUGAAGAAAUCAGAAUUUAAUAGGGUCUUCAGAUAUGAAAUUGAUGAUGAAAAUUGGAACCCUUCUUACAUGAUGGCAGAUCACAUUGAGGAUUUGAAAAAAAAAUAUCCGAGAACUGCGUGAUGUUUUUGAUGCUGAAGUUCAAAAACUUGAAGCAGAUAGAUACCAACUUGGAACAGAGAUUGCAACCACAGGUGAUAAUUCAUGGCCAUUGCCUGUUAACCUCAUGAGGCUUAUUUGGAAUGCACAAAAAACUUUCAAGGUUGAUACAAGAAGGCCAUCAGACAUUCAUCCAAUGGAAGCAGUAGAAGCUGUUGAUAAGUUGCAAGAGAGAUUGAAAGUUGUUCCUGGGGAGGAUCCGUUGAGUGUGGAAGCCCAAAAGAAUGCCACUCUUUUCUUUGGAAUUUUGCUUCGCAGCACUCUUGCUAGUAAAAGGGUGUUGGAAGAAUACAGGCUCACUCGUGAAGCAUUUGAUUGGGUUAUUGGUGAGAUUGAAUCACGGUUCUUACAGUCAUUGGUGGCCCCUGGAGAAAUGAUAGGUUGUGUUGCUGCACAGUCAAUUGGAGAACCUGCCACCCAAAUGACUCUGAAUACCUUCCACUAUGCUGGUGUUAGUGCAAAGAAUGUCACUCUUGGUGUUCCCAGGCUAAGGGAAAUUAUUAAUGUUGCUAAAAAAAUUAAAACUCCUUCUCUUUCUGUCUUCUUGGUUCCUGAGUGUAAUAAAACAAAAGAGAAGGCUAAGAGUGUUCAGUGUGCCUUAGAAUACACCACUCUCCGGAGUGUUACCCAAGCUACUGAAGUAUGGUAUGAUCCAGAUCCCAUGAGUACCAUAAUUGAAGAGGAUGUUGAUUUUGUGAAGUCCUAUUAUGAAAUGCCAGAUGAAGAGGUUGCACCGGAAAAAA
RNAcentral lists this unclassified non-coding RNA (918 nucleotides) under Hevea brasiliensis (rubber tree). Lineage: Eukaryota; Viridiplantae; Streptophyta; Magnoliopsida; Malpighiales; Euphorbiaceae. The record is from RNAcentral.